This 428-nucleotide ribosomal RNA is filed under the name uncultured bacterium. Its description in RNAcentral is "bacterial SSU rRNA". It matches the Rfam family "Bacterial small subunit ribosomal RNA", at positions 355 to 776 of the family's 1533-position model. The record is from RNAcentral.
UGGGGAAUAUUGUCCAAUGGGGGAAACCCUGAGACAGCGAUGCCGCGUGAGUGAAGAAGGCCUUCGGGUUGUAAAACUCUGUCGUAAGGGACGAAAAACAAAAGACUAAUAAUCUUUUGGUUGACGGUACCUUGCAAGAAAGCUCCGGCUAACUACGUGCCAGCAGCCGCGGUAAUACGUAGGGAGCGAGCGUUGUCCGGAGUGACUGGGCGUAAAGAGCACGUAGGCGGUCUGAUAUGUCGGAUGUGAAACCCCUGAGCUUAACUCAGGGCCUGCAUCCGAAACUGUUAGACUUGAGUACAGGAGAGGAAAGCGGAAUUCCUAGUGUAGCGGUGAAAUGCGUAGAUAUUAGGAGGAACACCAGUGGCGAAGGCGGCUUUCUGGACUGGAUCUGACGCUGAGGUGCGAGAGCUAGGGGAGCGAACAGG